Molecule: ribosomal RNA, 293 nt
Filed under: uncultured Ensifer sp.
Lineage: Bacteria; Pseudomonadati; Pseudomonadota; Alphaproteobacteria; Hyphomicrobiales; Rhizobiaceae
Description: partial 16S ribosomal RNA
Rfam family: Bacterial small subunit ribosomal RNA
Source: RNAcentral
CAACGAGCGCAACCCUCGCCCUAGUUGCCAGCAUUUAGUUGGGUCGACUCUAAGGGGACUGCCGGUGAUAAGCCGAGAGGAAGGUGGGGAUGACGUCAAGUCCUCAUGGCCCUUACGGGCUGGGCUACACACGUGCUACAAUGGUGGUGACAGUGGGCAGCGAGACCGCGAGGUCGAGCUAAUCUCCAAAAGCCAUCUCAGUUCGGAUUGCACUCUGCAACUCGAGUGCAUGAAGUUGGAAUCGCUAGUAAUCGCAGAUCAGCAUGCUGCGGUGAAUACGUUCCCGGGCCCUU